Molecule: long non-coding RNA, 1137 nt
Organism: Clupea harengus (Atlantic herring)
Lineage: Eukaryota; Metazoa; Chordata; Actinopteri; Clupeiformes; Clupeidae
Source: Ensembl
UUAUUUAUUUAUUCACUUACAUUUGCAGUGUGCUUUUAUUUAUUUAAGGACAUCACGAUGCCUCGUAGAAUCAUGACUAUAAAUGUGAAAGGUAAUUGUGUGUGUGUAAAGUGUACGAUGCAAAGACAGGUACAUCAGGUGCUGUUUUCUCCUCGGCGUCAUGAGGGGACCAUACAGAAACGUGUAACCCAGACUGCUGCGGUGUGUGUGUGUGUAAAGUGUGUGAGAAACAUGUACCCCAGACUGCUGCGGUGUGUGUGUGUGUGUGUAAAGUGUGUGAGAAACGUGUACCCAAGACUGCUGCGGUGUGUGUGUGUGUGAGUAAAGUGUGUGAGAAACGUGUACCCAAGACUGCUGCGGUGUGUGUGUGUGUGUGUAAAGUGUGUGAGAAACGUGUACCCAAGACUGCUGUGAACCCUAGACUUGGAGUAUGACGCAAGAUGGAGGAUGCUGGGAUGUGGGGAGAGUUUACACUCCUUAGGGUUAGGGUAUCUCACUCCUUAGGUAUACACUCCCAGUAUCUCACUCCUUAGUAUCUCACUCCUUAGGUAGCCCAGUAUCUCACUCCUUAGGUAUACACUCCCAGUAUAUCACUCCUUAGGUAUCUCACUCCCAGUAUCUCACUCCCAGUAUAUCACUCCCAGUAUCUCACUCCAUAGGUAUACACUCCCAGUAUAUCACUCCAUAGGUAUACACUCCCAGUAUCUCACUCCCACUAUCUCACUCCCAGUAUCUCACUCCUUAGGGUUAGGGUAUCUGACUCCUUAGGUAUACACUCCCAGUAUCUCACUCCUUAGGUAUCUCACUCCUUAGGUAUCUCACUCCCAGUAUCUCACUCCUUAGGGUUAGGGUAUCUCACUCCUUAGGUAUGCACUCCCAGUAUCUCACUCCUUAGGUAGCCCAGUAUCUCACUCCUUAGGGUUAGGGUAUCUCACUCCUUAGGUAUACACUCCCAGUAUCUCACUCCUUCACAGUGGUGCACAAUUAUAACACUAGAAUAGGGUUCCAGUUCCACAGCACUUACAUCCUCAGAAUACAAGACAGAGAGUGGAGAGAGAGAGAGAGAGAGACAGAGAGUGGGACAGAGAGAGAGAGCCAGAGAGACAGAGAGACAGAGAGAGAGUGGGACAGAGGGAG